RNAcentral lists this ribosomal RNA (450 nucleotides) under uncultured bacterium. RNAcentral's name for it is "partial 16S ribosomal RNA". It matches the Rfam family "Bacterial small subunit ribosomal RNA", at positions 354 to 796 of the family's 1533-position model. The record is from RNAcentral.
GUGGGGAAUAUUGGACAAUGGGCGAAAGCCUGAUCCAGCCAUGCCGCGUGUGUGAAGAAGGUCUUCGGAUUGUAAAGCACUUUAAGUUGGGAGGAAGGGCAGUAAGUUAAUACCUUGCUGUUUUGACGUUACCGACAGAAUAAGCACCGGCUAACUUCGUGCCAGCAGCCGCGGUAAUACGAAGGGUGCAAGCGUUAAUCGGAAUUACUGGGCGUAAAGCGCGCGUAGGUGGUUCAGCAAGUUGAAGGUGAAAUCCCCGGGCUCAACCUGGGAACUGCCUCCAAAACUACUGAGCUAGAGUACGGUAGAGGGUAGUGGAAUUUCCUGUGUAGCGGUGAAAUGCGUAGAUAUAGGAAGGAACAUCCGUGGCGAAGGCGGCCAUCUGGACCAGCACUGACACUGAGGCACGAAAGCGUGGGGAGCAAACAGGAUUAGAAACCCGAGUAGUCC